AUUGAACGCUGGCGGCAUGCUUUACACAUGCAAGUCGAACGGUAACGCGGGGCAACCUGGCGACGAGUGGCGAACGGGUGAGUAAUGCAUCGGAACGUGCCCGGUAGUGGGGGAUAACUGCUCGAAAGAGCAGCUAAUACCGCAUACGACCUGAGGGUGAAAGGGGGGGAUCGCAAGACCUCUCGAUAUUGGAGCGGCCGAUGUCGGAUUAGCUAGUUGGUGGGGGAAGUGCACAACAAGGCGACGAUGCGUCGCUGGUCUGAAAGGACGGCCAGCCACACUGGGUCGGAGACACGGCCCAGACUCCUACGGGAGGCAGCAGUGGGGAAUUUUGGACAAUGUACGGAAGUCUGAUCCAGCCAUGCCUCGUGCGGGAAGAAGGCCGUCGGGUUGUAAACCGCUUUUGUCAGAGAAGAAAUCUUCUGGGUUAAUACCUCGGGAGGAUGACGGUAUCUGAAGAAUAAGCACCGGCUAACUACGUGCCAGCCGCCGCGGUAA
This 498-nucleotide ribosomal RNA is filed under the name uncultured bacterium. RNAcentral describes it as "partial 16S ribosomal RNA". It matches the Rfam family "Bacterial small subunit ribosomal RNA", at positions 29 to 523 of the family's 1533-position model. The record is from RNAcentral.